AGAGAGAGACAUGCGCGCAUAUCAAUAAGCGGAGGAAAAGAAACUAACAAGGAUUCCCUUAGUAACGGCGAGUGAAGCGGGAAGAGCUCAAAUUUGAAAUCUUCAAGGUUUUACCUUGACGAAUUGUAGUUUAAAGAAGUGUUUUCUGCUGAAGUUUUGGUAAAAGUUCUUUGGAAUAGGACAUCAUAGAGGGUGAGAAUCCCGUAUUUGACCAUUAUUUCCAGCUUUGUGAUACACUUUCAAAGAGUCGGAUUGUUUGGGAAUGCAGUCCAAAAUGGGUGGUAAAUUUCAUCUAAAGCUAAAUAUUGGCGAGAGACCGAUAGCGAACAAGUACCGUGAGGGAAAGAUGAAAAGAACUUUGAAAAGAGAGUUAAACAGUACGUGAAAUUGUCAAAAGGGAAGCGUUUGACACCAGUGUUGUUUUCUCGAAAAUCAAUUAAAAAUGGCUCGAUUUGUAUUGUUGAGACCUUAAAAGCUCACUGUACAUUUUUCGUGUCUUUUUUAAUGCACUUUUCGUUUAACAAGUCAACAUCAGUUUCUUUUGUUGUAAAAGGGUCACUGGAAGGUGGCUUUCUUUUCGGAGAAAGUGUUUAUAGCCUUUGGCCUCUGCAAUCGGAAGAGACUGAGGUCUGCAGCGUAGACUCUUCGGGGUUAGAUACAUUUGUGCUAAGUUAUAGCUUUUUAUAGACAACUUGUUGACUAUAAUUAGUCUUGUAGCUUACUCGCUUAUGCUAUUUUACCUACGCUUAGGAUGUUGAAGAUGUAGCACAUCAU
This 774-nucleotide ribosomal RNA is filed under the name uncultured Neocallimastigales. Its description in RNAcentral is "partial large subunit ribosomal RNA". It matches the Rfam family "Eukaryotic large subunit ribosomal RNA", at positions 23 to 620 of the family's 3401-position model. The record is from RNAcentral. Lineage: Eukaryota; Fungi; Neocallimastigomycota; Neocallimastigomycetes; Neocallimastigales.